AGACUUAAAGGAAUUGACGGGGGCCCGGCACAAGCGGAGGAGCAUGUGGUUUAAUUCGAUGAUACGCGAGGAACCUUACCUGGGCUUAAAUGCUUAAUGACGUACUGGGAAACUGGUAUUUCUUCGGACAUUUUGCAAGGUGCUGCAUGGUUGUCGUCAGCUCGUGCCGUGAGGUGUCGGGUUAAGUCCCAUAACGAGCGCAACCCCUAUUGUUAGUUGCCAUCAGGUCAUGCUGGGGACUCUAACAAAACUGCCCGCGUAAGCGUGGAGGAAGGUGGGGAUGACGUCAAAUCAGCACGGCCCUUACGUCCAGGGCUACACACGUGCUACAAUGGCCGGUACAGAGGGCAGCCACUUGGUGACAAGGAGCAAAUCUCAAAAGCCGGUCUCAGUUCGGAUCGGAGUCUGCAACUCGACUCCGUGAAGUUGGAUUCGCUAGUAAUCGUAGAUCAGCAAUGCUACGGUGAAUACGUUCCCGGGCCUU
RNAcentral lists this ribosomal RNA (484 nucleotides) under uncultured Bacteroidota bacterium. RNAcentral's name for it is "bacterial SSU rRNA". It matches the Rfam family "Bacterial small subunit ribosomal RNA", at positions 897 to 1382 of the family's 1533-position model. Lineage: Bacteria; Pseudomonadati; Bacteroidota. The record is from RNAcentral.